RNAcentral lists this ribosomal RNA (256 nucleotides) under uncultured bacterium. RNAcentral's name for it is "partial 16S ribosomal RNA". It matches the Rfam family "Bacterial small subunit ribosomal RNA", at positions 1244 to 1500 of the family's 1533-position model. The record is from RNAcentral.
GCGAGGCAAAGCCGCGAGGCAGAGCGAAUCGCUAAAAGCCGUCCCAGUUCGGAUUGCAGGCUGCAACCCGCCUGCAUGAAGUUGGAAUCGCUAGUAAUCGCGGAUCAGCAUGCCGCGGUGAAUACGUUCCCGGGCCUUGUACACACCGCCCGUCACACCAUGAGAGUCGGGAACACCCGAAGUCCGUAGCCUGACCGCAAGGGGGGCGCGGCCGAAGGUGGGUUCGAUAAUUGGGGUGAAGUCGUAACAAGGUACC